RNAcentral lists this ribosomal RNA (253 nucleotides) under uncultured bacterium. RNAcentral describes it as "partial 16S ribosomal RNA". It matches the Rfam family "Bacterial small subunit ribosomal RNA", at positions 524 to 776 of the family's 1533-position model. The record is from RNAcentral.
UACGUAGGCCCCAAGUGUUAUCCGGAUUUAUUGGGCGUAAAGAGUGCGUAGGAGGUUUGACGCGUUAACUGUUAAAUUUUACUGCUCAACAGUAAAACUGCAGUUAAAACGGUCAAACUUGAGGACGUCAGAGGCCAUUGGAACGUACGGUGUAGGGGUGAAAUCCGUUGAUAUCGUACGGAACACCAAAGGCGAAGGCAAAUGGCUGGGGCGUUCCUGACUCUGAGGCACGAAAGCGUGGGGAGCAAAAAGG